This 253-nucleotide ribosomal RNA is filed under the name uncultured bacterium. Its description in RNAcentral is "partial 16S ribosomal RNA". It matches the Rfam family "Bacterial small subunit ribosomal RNA", at positions 524 to 776 of the family's 1533-position model. The record is from RNAcentral.
UACGUAGGGGGCAAGCGUUGUCCGGAUUUAUUGGGCGUAAAGCGCACGUAGGCGGAUUUGUUAGUCAGGGGUGAAAUCCCGAGGCUCAACCUCGGAACUGCCUUUGAUACUGCAAAUCUCGAGUCCGGAAGAGGUGAGUGGAAUUCCUAGUGUAGAGGUGAAAUUCGUAGAUAUUAGGAAGAACACCAGUGGCGAAGGCGGCUCACUGGUCCGGUACUGACGCUGAGGUGCGAAAGCGUGGGGAGCAAACAGG